Molecule: ribosomal RNA, 460 nt
Filed under: uncultured bacterium
Lineage: Bacteria
Description: partial 16S ribosomal RNA
Rfam family: Bacterial small subunit ribosomal RNA
Source: RNAcentral
CCUACGGGAGGCAGCAGUGAGGAAUAUUGGUCAAUGGACGAGAGUCUGAACCAGCCAAGUAGCGUGAAGGAUGACUGCCCUAUGGGUUGUAAACUUCUUUUAUAUGGGAAUAAAAUGUUCCACGUGUGGGAUUUUGUAUGUACCAUAUGAAUAAGGAUCGGCUAACUCCGUGCCAGCAGCCGCGGUAAUACGGAGGAUCCGAGCGUUAUCCGGAUUUAUUGGGUUUAAAGGGAGCGUAGGUGGAUGGUUAAGUCAGUUGUGAAAGUUUGCGGCGCAACCGUAAAAUUGCAGUUGAAACUGGCAGUCUUGAGUACAGUAGAGGUGGGCGGAAUUCGUGGUGUAGCGGUGAAAUGCUUAGAUAUCACGAAGAACUCCGAUUGCGAAGGCAGUUCACUGGACUGCAACUGACACUGAGGCUCGAAAGUGUGGGUAUCAAACAGGAUUAGAUACCCUAGUAGUC